AACGGGUGAGUAAUGCGUGACCAACCUGCCCCAUGCUCCAGAAUAACUCUUGGAAACGGGUGGUAAUGCUGGAUGCUCCAACUUGACGCAUGUCUUGUUGGGAAAGUGUUUAGUGGCAUGGGAUGGGGUCGCGUCCUAUCAGCUUGUAGGCGGGGUAAUGGCCCACCUAGGCUUCGACGGGUAGCCGGCCUGAGAGGGCGGACGGCCACAUUGGGACUGAGAUACGGCCCAGACUCCUACGGGAGGCAGCAGUA
This 254-nucleotide ribosomal RNA is filed under the name uncultured Gardnerella sp. RNAcentral's name for it is "partial 16S ribosomal RNA". It matches the Rfam family "Bacterial small subunit ribosomal RNA", at positions 101 to 355 of the family's 1533-position model. The record is from RNAcentral. Lineage: Bacteria; Bacillati; Actinomycetota; Actinomycetes; Bifidobacteriales; Bifidobacteriaceae.